RNAcentral lists this long non-coding RNA (513 nucleotides) under Heterocephalus glaber (naked mole-rat). Its description in RNAcentral is "lncRNA (ENSHGLG00100034237.1)". The record is from RNAcentral. Lineage: Eukaryota; Metazoa; Chordata; Mammalia; Rodentia; Bathyergidae.
GGCCCUUGCAGCGCGUCCGCCUAGACCGUCUGCCGACCUUCCCAGAAAAUAGGCCCAGACUUUACAAGCACAAAGAAAACACUCACCAGCCGGCGUUGACCCUCCGUGCACGGGAGUCCUGAAGGUCUUGGGGUCCCGGACGAGCCCCCAAAUGUUGUGCCCAGAUCGCGAUGUCCCAAAGACCACCAGGAGACCGUUUCCGAUAUGGGAGCAGCUUCGUGAAGAUGGGGUUCAUCAUGCUGGAUAUGCGGUAACCAUGAAGGAUGAGGUGGUCCUAGGCAGGACCGUCCAUGCAAUGUGCUAAGCUCUGGGCACUCAUACAGGCACUCCGAUGGGCGAAGGGUAAAAAAGGCAGAAUUGACUACUUUAUGGCUGGUUACUGCUUCAUCCUGUGCCACCUGCCCUCCCAUCAUGAGGCCCUUACCAGAAGUCAAGCAGAACCCAAGCAGAUGGUGGUGCCAUGCUCCCAGCCUCCAAAACCCUGAGCCAAAAUAAACCUUCCUUGGAAAUCGG